GAUCAUGGCUCAGGAUGAACGCUAGCUACAGGCUUAACACAUGCAAGUCGAGGGGCAGCAUGAACUUAGUUUGCUAAGUUUGAUGGCGACCGGCGCACGGGCGAGUAACACGUAUCCAACCUGCCGAGUGACUCGGGGAUAGCCUUUCGAAAGAAAGAUUAAUACCCGAUGGCAUAGUUCUUCCGCAUGGUAGAACUAUUAAAGAAUUUCGGUCAUCGAUGGGGAUGCGUUCCAUUAGGUUG
RNAcentral lists this ribosomal RNA (242 nucleotides) under uncultured bacterium. Its description in RNAcentral is "partial 16S ribosomal RNA". It matches the Rfam family "Bacterial small subunit ribosomal RNA", at positions 15 to 248 of the family's 1533-position model. The record is from RNAcentral.